CUUUCUUUUUCUUCUUACGACGUUUACUUCUGUCAUUAUUGACUAAAGGAGCGGUGGAUACAUCAUCCUCAGAAGGAAUUACAAGAUCAACGUCUUCUUGAAAACCAAUGGUACCCAAACUCUCAGGGAGACUGGAUAUUUUCUGAGGUAAGGACGCAAUAGUUCUAAAACCAGGUGUCUCGAGAUCAUUUGACUGAGCUUUAGCAUCAAGAGGUGACGUCAAAACCAGUUUUAUACUAUUUUCAUUCAUAGCAGAUUCUUCGGCGACAGGUAUCACUUGCUCUUUCUCAAGAGGAAAUUCAGAAGUAGGUGUUUCUAAUUGCCUGCAAAUCUCUUUAUUGACCUUUUCUGAAAUAGCAAGAGCAUUUUUAGUUUCAAGAGAAGAAACAGUUAUUGUGUCGGAUUUGUUUUUAAUGGGAAUAUCAGAAUCUCCAUUUUCAUCUGCCAAUGAUUUUUCAACAUUAUCAGCUGCAACAAGAAUAUUUUUAACCUCGACAUUAUCGCUGUGUUUUCCUUUCUUUUUCUUCUUACGACGUUUACUUCUGUCAUUAUUGACUAAAGGAGCGGUGGAUACAUCAUCCUCAGAAGGAAUUACAAGAUCAACGUCUUCUUGAAAACCAAUGGCACCCAAAUUCUCAGGGAGACUGGAUAUUUUCUGAGGUAAGGACGCAAUAGUUCUAAAACCAGGUGUCUCGAGAUCAUUUGACUGAGCUUUAGCAUCAAGAGGUGACGUCAAAACCAGUUCCUUACUAUUUUCAUUCAUAGCAGAUUCUUCGGCGAAAGAUAUCACUUGCUCUUUUUCAAGAGGAAAUUCAGAAGUGGGUGUUUCUAAUUGCCUGCAAAUCUCUUUAUUGACCUUUUCUGAAACAGCAAG
RNAcentral lists this long non-coding RNA (874 nucleotides) under Zostera marina. Its description in RNAcentral is "long non-coding RNA (ZMAR_LNC002814)". The record is from RNAcentral. Lineage: Eukaryota; Viridiplantae; Streptophyta; Magnoliopsida; Alismatales; Zosteraceae.